Molecule: ribosomal RNA, 255 nt
Filed under: uncultured bacterium
Lineage: Bacteria
Description: partial 16S ribosomal RNA
Rfam family: Bacterial small subunit ribosomal RNA
Source: RNAcentral
UACAGAGGUCUCAAGCGUUGUUCGGAUUCAUUGGGCGUAAAGGGUGUGUAGGUGGCGCGCUAAGUCGGGUGUGAAAUUUCGGAGCUUAACUCCGAAACUGCAUUCGAUACUGGCGUGCUUGAGGACUGGAGAGGAGACUGGAAUUCAUGGUGUAGCAGUGAAAUGCGUAGAGAUCAUGAGGAAGACCAGUGGCGAAGGCGGGUCUCUGGACAGUUCCUGACACUGAGACACGAAAGGCCAGGGGAGCAAACGGGG